CGGGCCGGGCGCUGGGCGCCGUACCUCAGGGAGGGUUCUGCUGCCUGAGGAGCUCUUGUUCACUGAGACACUGGUGUACAUUAGUGCAUAAAAAUACAUGAAUUCCUUUUCCUGGAGUUGACACCCUGGACAUAAGUAAGGGGUGGUAGUUGCUGCUCGGCGAGGAUGGAAGGAACUCAAGAAGAGGAACCUCUGGCCUUAGCACAGGU
Molecule: long non-coding RNA, 209 nt
Organism: Lepus europaeus (European hare)
Lineage: Eukaryota; Metazoa; Chordata; Mammalia; Lagomorpha; Leporidae
Exons: 3
Source: RefSeq, a predicted model, not a curated record